AAUUGAAUACAGCCGAAUUUCGUGAAUACGAAAGCGGGGGACCCGAUCAUUGGGGUGAAUUUUGCGCCGAUCCGCGUUAAGGAUCGACGCAAAUAGGGCGGCCUGGACGCGCCCGAAUCCGUCAGCUAACCUCGUAGGCAUUGAACGUCAGGAUAC
This 156-nucleotide small RNA is filed under the name Paenibacillus dendritiformis. RNAcentral describes it as "c-di-AMP sequence". It matches the Rfam family "c-di-AMP riboswitch aptamer (ydaO/yuaA leader)". From Rfam's summary of the family: This family represents a conserved RNA structure found upstream of the ydaO and yuaA genes in Bacillus subtilis and related genes in other bacteria. The ydaO/yuaA element is thought to act as a genetic "off" switch for the ydaO and yuaA genes in its native state. The record is from RNAcentral. Lineage: Bacteria; Bacillati; Bacillota; Bacilli; Caryophanales; Paenibacillaceae. RNAcentral also lists the same sequence under 1 other name.